Molecule: non-coding RNA, 1777 nt
Organism: Microcebus murinus (gray mouse lemur)
Lineage: Eukaryota; Metazoa; Chordata; Mammalia; Primates; Cheirogaleidae
Source: RefSeq, a predicted model, not a curated record
AUUGUCCUACUUAAUAACCAAGUAAUCUGGACCUAAAUCAUUCCUCAGCCUUCCUCCUCUCCCCACAAAACCCAAACUUUCCCCCAACGCCCUCUCUCAGAUCAUAGACACUCAGCGUGUCCCCACCCCUCCUCUGUCCCUCUCUGCUGUCACUGGCCUGCCCUACCCACCCGGAAGCUUCUUUCUCCCCCCAUCCCCCACCUAUCACUAGGCUGAGCCCCAGGCCUUGAGAUUUUGCUGCCUGGACUGUGUAUCUGGCCAAUGCUGAGAAUAGCAAACAAAGGAGCAACUGUGGGACUGACAGCUCAAGGACUCUGGCAUCGGGUCUGCCCUUGGCUGCCGCUCUCAGGACGUGCUGGCCAGGCUGGUCUUGCCGCAGGCCAUCCCACACAUCUCAAAAUGACAGAGGGUGUGACUGGCCCUGAGACGGCUCAGCAGGCACUGGAGAGAAGGGGCCUUCUCUGAGGAACAAAACAGACAGAAAUGGAAGCCCCCAGGCCACAGGCUUGGCAGCACUUGGCAUAAAAUGUAAUUUCUAAAAUCCUUAUAAGGAACAGAACUGGAAAAAGAAAUAAGAAAGAGAAAAGGAAGCAAGGAAGGAAGGGUGAGGAAAGCAAGUGGAAGGGGACAUUCUCUGCAUGGACGGGUGCGACAGUGACCAACAUGUACCCCUAUCACCCCUGCGCCCCUGUGACAGCUCUCUCCGGUUGCCAUGCGUCUUGAGAGCACUAUGAACACAGCACUGAACAAGAACAAGACAGAUGCAGUCCUGCCUAGAGGGAUCUUGCAGUCGGUGGGGAAGACAAGCAGCAGAGCAGUUACCGGCGGUGACAAUGAACAUCAUGGCCUGUGAGACUCAGGUUGAUGUGGGAGUGCAUAGCAGGGGGAGCCCACCUGGUAUCUGGGCCCCGGGGCCACCUGUGCACCGUCACCUUUGUCUAAACAGCAGCGACAGUGGACUCGAGGGCCAAAAAUACCUGUAUUCAAAUCUGGGCUGUCACUGACUGGUAGCAAGUUCUUAGAUUUAUUUAGCAUCUCUGUGCUUCAAUUUCCCCAUCUGUAAAAUGGGAACAAUAAUCCCUCUCUCACACAGUUAUUGUGAGGAUUAACUGAAAUAAUGCAUGGGGAGCUUCCAAGGCCAUGUCCGGUGUAUGGUAGAUGUUCAAUACAUGUUAUUUUUCUCCCCUUCCCUCCACCCACUUGCACCUUUCUUUGGAGAGCUACAAUGUCAGAAAGUUCUACCUAACCUGGCUCAUGCUAACAAGCACCAUUAUUUCCUUGCAUUACCUCGUAAUGAAACUCACAAUUCCUAAUCCAUCUACAGCCUUCUCAUCUAUAAAAUGAGGAUCGCCGUGGCAUCUAUGUUGUAGGGUAAUUUGAAAAUUACAUCUAAAGUGCUUAGAGUAGAUCUUGGCUCAGAGCACUGAAUAUGUGUGAGCUAAUAUUACCACUAGUAGUAGUGGUGGUGUUCCUUCCCUUCAGCAUCUGAAGACACAUACCAGGUGCCCCUGUGGAUUGGAAGGACCAUCCCAGUCCUUCAGCUGUUUCUCAAUAACGUGCUUUAACCCCCCAAUCUGCCUCCUGGGUGGCUCACUCCUGCACAGGUUCCAUUUGCUGCUUCCCUUUCUGCCGGGUGAUGCCCAGUGCUGGCCACAGCCUCUGAGUGUGGUCCGAUGUGGCAGAGAGCAGGGGCACCCGCCCCUCCCACACUCUGCUCUGCUCACUCUUUCUCAGGGUCACCCAUGGCCACAGCAGCUGCGCUCACAGCCACAUCACU